This 373-nucleotide long non-coding RNA is filed under the name Olea europaea (common olive). Its description in RNAcentral is "long non-coding RNA (OEUR_LNC012947)". Lineage: Eukaryota; Viridiplantae; Streptophyta; Magnoliopsida; Lamiales; Oleaceae. The record is from RNAcentral.
AAAAAACCAUUAUUUCCAACUCCAAAACCACCUCCCCCACCACAAACAAACCAUCAUUUUAAGCUACAAAACCACCACCAAUGUCAAUACCAACAUCACUGUCACCACCACACGCCACCACUACCUCCGUCCCUAUCUUACCAUCAACGCAACGACUAGCAAAAAGCAGCAGCACCACCCUUGGACCAAAAAUCACAACCACAAUCUCCAUUACACCACAACCACCAAACCCACUGCGGUCGUCACCACCACAGCAUCGUUACCACUGCCUUAUCAGAUCCACAAUCGCCGCAUCAAUGCAAUUCGUGCAACCAUUGAUGGCUCUGCAAAUCGUUCAGUCACACCAUUGCUACUUGCAACGACUGCAACUCCG